Molecule: ribosomal RNA, 253 nt
Filed under: uncultured bacterium
Lineage: Bacteria
Description: partial 16S ribosomal RNA
Rfam family: Bacterial small subunit ribosomal RNA
Source: RNAcentral
UACGUAGGGUGCAAGCGUUAAUCGGAAUUACUGGGCGUAAAGCGUGCGCAGGCGGUUUUGUAAGACCGAUGUGAAAUCCCCGGGCUUAACCUGGGAACUGCAUUGGUGACUGCAAGGCUUGAGUGUGUCAGAGGGAGGUGGAAUUCCGCGUGUAGCAGUGAAAUGCGUAGAUAUGCGGAGGAACACCGAUGGCGAAGGCAAUCCCCUGGACCUGUACUGACGCUCAUGCACGAAAGCGUGGGGAGCAAACAGG